AAGUCGUAACAAGGUUUCCGUAGGUGAACCUGCGGAAGGAUCAUUAAUGAAAUUCUGACCGAGGCUGUAGCUGGUCCCUAGCCGGACAUGUGCACGUCUCUUUCAAAAUCCACAAACACCUGUGCACCUUUGCGUGAGUCCACUGGGGUUGUACCCGAGGGGGCUUGCGUCCUUUUCACAAACUCUUGUAUGUCUUUAAGAAUGUCUAUCUUGAUGUAAUAAAACGCAUCUAAUACAACUUUCAACAACGGAUCUCUUGGCUCUC
Molecule: unclassified non-coding RNA, 265 nt
Filed under: Xylobolus subpileatus
Lineage: Eukaryota; Fungi; Basidiomycota; Agaricomycetes; Russulales; Stereaceae
Description: partial internal transcribed spacer region
Rfam family: Eukaryotic small subunit ribosomal RNA (bases 1-46)
Source: RNAcentral